RNAcentral lists this long non-coding RNA (5067 nucleotides) under Macaca fascicularis (crab-eating macaque). Its description in RNAcentral is "lncRNA (ENSMFAG00000050891.1)". The record is from RNAcentral. Lineage: Eukaryota; Metazoa; Chordata; Mammalia; Primates; Cercopithecidae.
AGUGAGCUGAGAUCAUGCCACUGCAAUCCAGUCUGGGCAACAGAAUGAGACCCUGUCUCAAAAAAAAAAUACAGUUGAAUGAUUUUUAUUCUCCUCUUUCCUUUUUAUCUACAAUAAAGUUCAUUUUGAUUGUAUGGUCAUCCAUGGUUUUUGGAAGUUUGAAAAAUGCUAAACAACCUACUCAAACCCAUGAGGCCUCAGGGUUAACUAGGCUAGUGAAGGACUUAAGAAUAAGACCUACACCCCACCCCACAGCCAGAGAAAGAGCUUUCAUAGCCCCUGGAAGGGAAGUUCUUAUAUCCUGGGGUGAAGUUGCAGACAGCAGCUACCAGGCAUGGCAGAGGCCUGUAUUAUCUAUGUGCUGGAGUCCAGAACCAGCACAGGAUUUUUUAUUUAGCAGAGUCAGUAAUGACCAGUCAUGCCAUAUAAAUCUAAAAGGCAAGGCUUGUUUUGUUUUCAUUUUUGUUUUUGUUUUGCAGAGAUGGAGAGAUAGGCUGCUUGGCUCUUUGGUUGGGUCUUUAUAAAGCUUUGCUUAUCUUAUAUUGCUUACUUAAUUUUGGAGGGAAACCGCUAACAGACACACCCUGGUGAUGGUUCUUUGUUCACCUCAAGGCCUUGUUGUUAUGUUGUUGUUGUUUGUUUUUGUGUGUGUGUGUUUUUGUUUUGUUUUGUUUUGUUUUGAGAUGGAGUCUUGCUCUAUCCCCCAGGCUGGAGUGCAGUGCCAUGAUCUCGGCUUACUGCAAUCUCCACCUCCCAGGUUCAAGCGAUUCUCCUACUUCAGCCUCCCGAGUAGCUGGGAUUACAGGUGCCCACCACCACACCCAGCUAAUUUUUUUGUAUUUUUUAGUAGAGAUGGGGUUUCACCAUGUUGGCCAGGAUGGUCUUGAUCUACUGACCUCGUGAUCCACCCGCCUCGGCCUCCCAAAGUGCUGGGAUUACAGGUGUAAGCCACCGCCCCCAGCCAUUAUUUUGUUUUGUUUUGUUUUGUUUUUUUGUUUUGUUUUUAGAAAGCUUUUACAAGAUUACAAGAAAUGACUCUCUUACGGAAGAAAAAUAACCACCCAGUUUCCCUUCCUAGUCUUCGUUCAAUUCAUAGAGUGUUGUGUUUAUCCCCAAAGGGUCUUGUAGUCUUCAUUGCAAACAUUUGAUUCUGAUCUACUCACAUACAAGGAAAUGUAGAUUUGCCAAGACCAAAACUAGAGGGGCGGGCUUCCCAUCAGGGUUUUCCUGUGGGGAGAUGACAAGAGAAACAGGGAGGAAAUCCUAAUUAUGGCUUGUCCUCUUCCCUGAAUUGCUGUCUACGACAGUGUAGUUUAAAUGUAAACAAGGUGGGUUAGGGACGGUUUGUGUAGGGCAGGAGGCCCACCCAGAAGGCCUACCCAGGGAAGAGAGGGCCCAGAACCUAGGUGCAGCAUUUGCCUAGUAACCCUACCCCGGCCUUUCUUUGUAUGUUAGGAAGCUGGAAAUGCAGGCUGGUCUCCCUUUCUUGCCUUUGUCACUAACCCCGAGCUGUCAGCCAUUUGGAAUCAGAACUGCUUUCCAGUGUUCUAAGUCCUUAUUUGAUGACAAAUAUUUGGUGAAUCAAAGUAAGGCACUUUGGUCCUAAUUUUUGACCUUUGGUCCUAAUUUUUGUUUGUAGUUUGUGGAGAAUAACCCUGACCUUACCAGGGGUCCUGGGAAUGUGAAUCCAUUCAUCAAGUGGUUCCACAUCUAGAAGCAUUUUGCCUAUGCCGUGUGGAGAAAAGUAGAGUGCCACAAAGCCCAGGCAUCAUUCAACACGAGGCCAACUAUCUGCUGCCAGUCUGGCAUAAGAUCAGAUUGAAACUGCUAAGUAAUGGUACAUCCAACUAAACAAAGUUCUUCCAAGAGAGUAAACCCAAGUCAUCUUAUACACGUAUUUGUUCUGGGUUGGCGGGGAUGACAGUUCAGUAGAGUCCGAUGUUCUAGAGCAGAGGUUCUCAACCCUGGCUGUAAAUUAGGAUCAUCUGGCCAGUUUUUGUUUUUAAAUCAGUGCAAGGGCCCUCCCCUCAGAGAUUCGGAUUCAGUAGCUUCAGAUGGGACCUGGAAUCCAUGCUUUGUUUGGAACCUCAGGAGUGUCCUUGAUGUGCAGCCAGGAUUGACAAGAGCCUUUAGUCUAGGGCUCGCAGCAGACCCUAUUUGGAAUCUGAUUUUAAAGAAUGGUCUAGCAGAUGAAGGUUUUUUUUUUUUUUUUAAAUUGUUAGUCAUGUGAAACGAACUGAGUAUUGACCAAUAAUACAGGCUGGGCAGCUAUGAGAGAGUUUGAUGCUAAUCUUUGCAGAACUCAAGAACAUACUCCAUAAAGUACAGCUGAAAAGAUCACGAAAACCUUGGAGUCUUCAAGGAGAGAGAAGGGUGACUUGGAGUAUGUAUGGGGAGAAUUAAAAACCUGCCAUCUUGGUUCCCACUUGUGGGGAAUAAAGGGAAGGUAUUAACUGAGCUGCUGACUAAUCAAGCAUGAAGGUUUCUGGGAAGCUGUUUUGUUUUGUUUUUAAUUUCACCUGGAAUUAAAUUAAUAGUCCCCUCUGGAGUCAGAUUUUCUUUCCCUUCACCUGGCCUCAUGCCUGAGUCCACAUUGGAUUCCUCAGAGUAAGGGUGGGCCCGUUUACUGCUGGAGCAAAGUAGAAGGUUGUGGUCCUUUGCUAUCACAUGGUGAUGGUGGUAGUUUCUGUAGCAGGUGAUUAAGGAGAUGUACACUUUUGUGUAGCCUUGACAGAGAGAAGAUGAAAGCUGCUAUUCCUUUUAGUACGCUUUUUGAGAACUACCAGAAACCUAAACUUUCUCUCCUAGAGAAGAAAAUUUGGAAUUUAAAUAAGGCCACAUUUCUUCCUAGGAAACAAGCACAGGAAGGGCAUAUGGAUCCGAGCAUCCAGGGUGGUUACUGGGGUGAUGAGACAAAUAAGCAUUGAUGCCUGGAAGGCAGAAAUCACACUGUGACAUCAAAUGUUUCAUCAAGCAAACAGCAAGGAGCUCUUCAGGCUGUGUUCUCUAGACCCGAAAAUGUCCUCUGUGGUUUGGCUGACAAAUGGAAUCUCUUUAGAAAACAUGCAAAAGGGUAUCUCAGCUAUCCAUGAAUGAUUCAGUCUAGGGCAAAGAACUAACAGUUCCAAAAUAGAGGUCUGUUGGUCUGUUUCACGUCAUCCCGUCAUCCUAUCUCUCCCUGUCCUUGUCUGCAGUGGAAGUUAAUGGAAUCAUACCAGAUGUUUAAUGUGAACAAGUGAUUUCCAAAUGUAGAAACACCACUGAUGUAUUUAGGGGGAAAAACAGUGGCAGGGUGUUAGAGCAUCUCAUCAGAGGUGAAAAUCACCCACUUGGAAACCUACCAUGUACCCGUUGUGAGUUCUAAGAGUGUAUCAGAAAGCUGAUUUUACCAUCUGUUGUGAAAGAUUAUCUGCAAUGAGGGCUGCUAGGAAGUCAGCCUACUGAUCUCACAAGUAUAUGACUUCUUAUUCCACUUCAAAAGUGGGGAACUUGACAAGUUUCUUGUCUGCCUUUUGAUGUUGAUUCUAUAGAUUCAUUAGUUCAGGAAAAAGUCUUUCAUAUACAUUAGACUGGUAUCAUCGAGUUCUGAUCUCUUCUGUUGUUCUUUAACUGACACUCUGGCUUGCCAGUGUCAGCUGCUACAUUCUGAUACAGUGAAGUCGAAGGAAUCUAGUGGCCAAGAGUCGUAGUUUAGAAACAACCCAUCUGAAUACUGCCUUUACCACUUUGAUACCUGAAAAGAUCAUCCCUGUUUCUAAAACCUGAAAACAACAUAUAGAGAAAUACUGUAGAAACCAGUGCUAGUGGCUUAACUAGGAAAAGCAAGUAGACUCAUCAACAGUCCUUUCAAAACAAGACCUAAACAAUUUUUUCCAGUUUCAAUUUUCAUAGACAUUUUUAAAAAAUUAAACACACCUUGUCACCCAGUGCUAGCAAAAAUUGUAAAGAGCAAAACCAAAGUUUUUGAUGUUAGUCUUAUUUUUGUAAGCAGGGUAUACUAUAGUCAUGGCCCAUAUGGAACACACAGGCAGCCGGCUUUCUGCUACCUGAGCCUUGGAGAAGAUGAAAAGGAAGGGCUGUCUGCUGUGCUGCCCUUUGAAAAGGUCCAAAGCAGACAUGAGAACACACAGCAGAAGUCACCUUCUCCUUCUGAUGAUCGCCUUUCAAAAGGCUUAACAGAAUCACCAAAUGUCACGGUCAGCUAUUGGCCAGUGGAAAAUUGUCUGGGCCUGUAUAUGUUGGAGGAACUCAGAUAGAAAAGGACUUGUAAACAGCAUGGAAACUUCAACAUCUGCUGUCUCAAGCACUUGAAUGAGGCUACAAUUCAGGUGUUACUGGAUGACUUAACUGCACGGACAUUUGGGGGCUGACUUGUGAUUAUUCCAAUUGUGGGCUUUGGAGAAGCAGAGGGAUGGUUUUCAGUUGUGCGGGUGUUAAGUCUAUGGAUUGGGAAUUUACCACUGAAAUUGAUCGUUCAAAGUGUGACUUCAUAGUAGGGCCAGCUCCUCCUAAGUUGUCCUUUUGUUUUUCACAUAAAAUACAUCUGGUACUUUUUACUUGUGAAGUUGUACUAUGUCCAUGAAAAUAGUUAAAUGAGAAGGCCAUCAAGAUUCAUUUAAUAGCUGAAAAGCAAUUUUUAAAAUAGAAUAGGACGAAUUUAACAUGGAAUGAUGUGACCUAGGGAACUUUUUAUAGAGAGCUUACAUACUGUAAUUGGGGAGAAUUUUGUCUUCUAUUUCCAUUGAACAGUAGCAAACUGGUGGUUUUAUAAAAUUAACAUUAUAGUAUGUUAUAUAAAUAAAUGUUAUAUAAAAUGACAUUAAAGUAUAACUGUGAAAAAUUAAAGACUUGGAGUUAUCCACAACCUUUAUGUGCAAUAAGGAAAACUGCAGUAGGCCCCCAAAGUGCUGUCUUUCCCUAGCAUUUUACUCAAUGUUUGCCUUUGUGUAUGUUUAGAUUGUUAUUGUAAAGCUAGCCAUGUGUGUUCCUGCCCUUUACUGAUAUUUAACACAUUUUCUCAAAGCUUUUUUUUUUUUUUUUAACAAAACUCAAAAUAAAACAACUAAC